CUGACAGACACUGAGCCACUGGAGCUGUGACGACACGAGGAGACAACGCGUCAUUUCCUUCGGAGUGAGCGCAACAGCGGCACAGUUCUGAGGCUCAGACAGCCCAUCACUGGAUGUUGCUGUUGUCAUCCGUGCCAUUUGCCUCCGACAUAUUCAUCUUCCCCAUGGAGUGACCCACGUGGUUCACCCCGUCCUUGCGAGGUGGCAUGCGCUCGUUGAUGCGGUCCAGGCCCUUGGCCUCUGCAAAGCUGGUGAUCUUGUGCUGGGGGGAAAAGCCACGGAUCGCUGAAAAGAGAAGACACAUAAAAAGCAAGUGUGUGACCCAAGAGCGACAAGAUCAUGAUCCCUCACCAGCUUCCCUCCCUGGAAAUACUGUCGACUGCCAAAAGAUGCAGUGGAAUCGUGACCGCGAACAUUAAAACAGGAAUAACAUAAAUCAGCACGGUUGAUUAUAUUCCACAUCUCCUGGUCCCUGGUGCUGAUGCUGGGCUUCGAAUCGGAUUGUUGAUCAACAUCAAAGCUCCUGCAGCCCACUAUACCACCACACACACAAUAAUGAACGACAUGGAAAUAAAGGCCAUGUUCUGCCUUAACCGCAAGGAGCAGGGAACACUUGAGAUGUUAUGUAAUAUCUGCACAGCCAGCACCAGGGAAGAAGAUGUGGGCGAACUUACAUUUCACCAUCCGAUCGGUGGCGUUUAAGACGAUGUCAGCGUUAGACAUCUUCAUGGGCAGUU
Non-coding RNA from Paralichthys olivaceus (Japanese flounder), 737 nucleotides. Lineage: Eukaryota; Metazoa; Chordata; Actinopteri; Pleuronectiformes; Paralichthyidae. The record is from RefSeq and is a predicted model, not a curated record.